RNAcentral lists this ribosomal RNA (1424 nucleotides) under uncultured eukaryote. RNAcentral's name for it is "partial Bacterial large subunit ribosomal RNA". It matches the Rfam family "Bacterial large subunit ribosomal RNA", at positions 23 to 1482 of the family's 2925-position model. The record is from RNAcentral.
GGAGGAUGCCUUGGAUUCCAGAGGCGAUGAAGGACGCGUUAGGCUGCGAUAAGCCGUGGUGAGGUGCCUAAAAACCUUUGAUCCGCGGAUUUCCGAAUAGGACAACCUAUUAGAGCCCCUUCGGGGGAGGCGAACGAGGGGAACUGAAACAUCUAAGUACCCUUAGGAGAAGAAAACAAAAGUGAUUUCCUGAGUAGCGGCGAGCGAAAUGGAACUAGCCCAAACCAUUUUGAUUUCGGUCAAAGUGGGGUUGUAGGACUUUCAACAUCUGUAAUUAUACUGAACUGGAACACGUUGGGAAGCGUGGCAAUAUACGGUGAUAGCCCAGUACAGGUAAAGUAUGUUAUGGUAGAAAGACUCCUGAGUAGGGCGGGGCACGUGAAACCCUGUCUGAACAUGGGGGGACCAUCCUCCAAGGCUAAAUACUCCUGACCGACCGAUAGUGAACCAGUACCGUGAGGGAAAGGCGAAAAGAACCCCUGUGAGGGGAGUGAAAUAGAACCUGAAACCGUAUACGUACAAGCAGUGGGAGCCCUUCGGGGUGACUGCGUACCUUUUGUAUAAUGGGUCAGCGACUUAUAUUCUGUAGCAAGGUUAACCGAAUAGGGGAGCCGUAGGGAAACCGAGUCUUAAUAGGGCGUCUAGUUGCAGGGUAUAGACCCGAAACCGAGUGAUCUAUCCAUGAGCAGGUUGAAAGUGACGUAACAGUUACCGGAGGACCGAACCCACUGUCGUUGAAAAGCCAGGGGAUGACUUGUGGAUAGGGGUGAAAGGCUAAUCAAACUCGGUGAUAGCUGGUUCUCCCCGAAAGCUAUUUAGGUAGCGCCUCGGACGAACACCAUUGGGGGUAGAGCACUGUUUCGGCUAGGGGGUCAUCCCGACUUACCAAACCGAUGCAAACUCCGAAUACCGAUGAGUGAUAUCCGGGAGACAGACGGCGGGUGCUAACGUCCGUCGUCAAGAGGGAAACAACCCAGACCGCCAGCUAAGGUCCCUAAAAUUGGCUAAGUGGGAAACGAAGUGAGAAGGCUAAAACAGUCAGGAUGUUGGCUUAGAAGCAGCCACCCUUUAAAGAAAGCGUAAUAGCUCACUAGUCGAGUCGGCCUGCGCGGAAGAUGUAACGGGGCUCAAACUAGGAGCCGAAGCUGCGGAUUUAAUUGUUUCAAUUAAGUGGUAGGGGAGCAUUGUGUAAGCCUGUGAAGGUGUGUUGUAAAGCAUGCUGGAGGUAUCACAAGAGCGAAUGCUGACGUGAGUAACGACAAUGCGAGUGAAAAGCUCGCACGCCGGAAGACCAAGGGUUCCAGUCCAACGUUAAUCGGGGCUGGGUGAGUCGACCCCUAAGGCGAGGCCGAAAGGCGUAGUCGAUGGGAAAUCGGUUAAUAUUCCGAUACUUGUUUAUGAUGCGAUGGAGGGACGGAGAAGGU